Long non-coding RNA from Oryza sativa Japonica Group (Japanese rice), 646 nucleotides. RefSeq lists it as uncharacterized. NCBI's taxonomy places the organism in Eukaryota, Viridiplantae, Streptophyta, Magnoliopsida, Poales, Poaceae. The record is from RefSeq and is a predicted model, not a curated record.
GAACGACUGGAGAUGAUCCUCACGGAUUGCCGAUGAUCCGGAUUCCGAGCGGAGGUACCAAGACGAACGGAAAUCCAUCGAAGUUUUAAUCUCCCACGAGACAACAUCCAGAUAUAUCAGGUUAGGUAUUAUUUCUUAUCAAUCCAAAUGGAUUUCUCAUCUCACGCAAUUUGGAUCUAAGAUUGCUAGGGCUUAGAUUCACUAACCUGACCCUAUAAAUUUCCUUGCACAUCGAUCGGUCUCCACAAUCAUCUGCCAUCGCAUCUAGAGUCCACAUAGCAAUCCUCCAUCCUUGCAUUUGCUAGCCACGCAAGACUCAGGGACAUCUUCUCCUAUUAUCAGACUGCAACCCGGACAUCUUACACAGCCGACUCUUUCUGAUUUGGGGAUUGGUCAGCAUAGUCUGCUGCAGCGCCAACACCAUCGGAAUCUACCCGCCUGCAGAAUCGGUCACCUUGCGGCGCACCUCCGUCGUCUUCGUAUCGACAAAUUCGAUAUCCUGAGCAACUCGCCAAUGAACCUAUUUUAGAUCUGGGAGACAGUAUGUGAACAAGUGACCAAUAACUGUACAAGUAGAUAAGCUGUACGAAGGACGCAGGAGGAAAAUGAGAACCUGGGAGAAAGAGUAUGAUCCAUUCCAUGGCUA